This 21-nucleotide microRNA is filed under the name Cordylochernes scorpioides. Lineage: Eukaryota; Metazoa; Arthropoda; Arachnida; Pseudoscorpiones; Chernetidae. The record is from RNAcentral.
UUCAGCAGCUGCGUCGUCCUC